Molecule: long non-coding RNA, 394 nt
Filed under: Dromaius novaehollandiae (emu)
Lineage: Eukaryota; Metazoa; Chordata; Aves; Casuariiformes; Dromaiidae
Description: lncRNA (ENSDNVG00000017711.1)
Source: RNAcentral
AUGAACCUUACAGCCUAAAUAUGCUUCACAAGGCCAUGGGGAAACCUGCAGAUUUGGAGGAGCCUUACAGCUGUUGUUCCUGGGGAGCUCUUGCAGCACCCUCUGUGGUGCCUAUGAGAUGGUUUCAGCAAGUGGGUGUCUGGAAAGAGCCAACAAGAGUCAUUUAAACUCUUCCACCCUGAAUGUGAUGCAGAAUAAUUUAAGCUUCUGUGCUGUCAUUAAAGGCCUAAACUGUGGCACAGGAACACUGAAAGAAGUUGUAGUUGAAAUGCAAAAGGAAAUCAUAUGGAUGAGGUCGGGUUUUGUUUUAAAGACACGCAGAGAUGAGCUGUGGCUAUUGAGGAGUGACUGUCCGCAGGAAACGAGGAAAGCUGGCACAGCACAGAGGGACUGA